RNAcentral lists this ribosomal RNA (851 nucleotides) under Xenopus mellotropicalis (Gabonese clawed frog). Its description in RNAcentral is "partial 16S ribosomal RNA". It matches the Rfam family "Bacterial large subunit ribosomal RNA", at positions 1117 to 2537 of the family's 2925-position model. The record is from RNAcentral. Lineage: Eukaryota; Metazoa; Chordata; Amphibia; Anura; Pipidae.
CACCUGAGAAGAAAGCGUCAAAGCUCGCUCAUCCUACCUCCGUCAUACCGACAUCACAUCCGAACCCUUUCUCCUUACUGAGCUGUUCAAUUCAAAUAUUGAAGCACUUAUGCUAGAACUAGUAAUGUGAAUCUAACAUUCUCACAAAUGCAAGUGUAAAUCAGAUCGAAUAAAUCACUGAUAAUUAACGGCCUUAUUGAGGAUACUUCAGCAACAACCCAAGAAAACCCUGAACACAACACCGUUAACCUAACACAAGAACAUUUCAAGAAAGAUUAAAAGACGCAGAAGGAACUCGGCAAACAAUGAACCCCGCCUGUUUACCAAAAACAUCGCCUCUUGCUAAACAACAUGUAUAAGAGGUCCAGCCUGCCCAGUGACUAUAUGUUCAACGGCCGCGGUAUUCUGACCGUGCAAAGGUAGCGUAAUCACUUGUCUUUUAAAUAAAGACUAGUAUGAAUGGCACCACGAAGGUUCAACUGUCUCCUGCAUCCAGUCCAUUAAACUGACCUCCCCGUGCAGAGGCGGGGAUACACCCAUAAGACGAGAAGACCCUAUGGAGCUUUAAACUUACGGCAACUGCUAACUAACCUCACCCCACACGGGAUAUCAUCUAACUAAGCAACAAUGACCUAAAGUUUUCGGUUGGGGCGACCACGGAGAAAAAAAAAUCCUCCUUGAUGUACGAGGCCUUACCCUCUUAGCCAAGAACGACAGUUCUAAGCAACAAAACAUUUGACCACUAUUGAUCCAGUCUUACUGAUCAACGAACCAAGUUACCCUAGGGAUAACAGCGCAAUCCAUUUCGAAAGUUCCUAUCGACAAAUGGGUUUACGACCUCGAUGUUGGAU